CCUCAAAUCAGGUGGGACUACCCGCUGAACUUAAGCAUAUCAAUAAGCGGAGGAAAAGAAACUAACUAGGAUUCCCUUAGUAACGGCGAGUGAAGAGGGACUAGCCCAAAUUUGUAAUCUGGCUCUUUCAGAGUCCGAGUUGUAAUCUCGAGAACAGUUUUCCGUGUUGGACCUUGUAUAAGUCUGUUGGAAUAUAGCUUCGUAGAGGGUGAGAAUCCCGUACAUAACAAGGACUACCAAUGCUUUGUGAUACUGUCUCUAAGAGUCGAGUUGUUUGGGAAUGCAGCUCAAAUUGGGUGGUAAAUUCCAUCUAAGGCUAAAUAUUGGCGAGAGACCGAUAGCGAACAAGUACCGUGAGGGAAAGAUGAAAAGCACUUUGGAAAGAGAGUUAACAGUACGUGAAAUUGUUAGAAGGGAAACGAUUGAAGUCAGUCUUGUAGCUUUUCGUUCAACCGCAAGGUGUAUUCGGAUUGCAACAGGCCAGCAUCAAUUUUUGGUGUCGGAUAAGGGUAUUGGAAACGUAGCAAUCUCGGUUGUGUUAUAGUCCUUUACUUGAUACGAUGCUAGGGAUUGAGGAACGCAGUGAGCCUUUUGGCGGGUCUUUGGACCUUCUCACUUUGGAUGCUG
Molecule: ribosomal RNA, 627 nt
Filed under: uncultured Basidiomycota
Lineage: Eukaryota; Fungi; Basidiomycota
Description: LSU rRNA
Rfam family: Eukaryotic large subunit ribosomal RNA
Source: RNAcentral